CAUUGUUUCAGUUGCUUCUGGUUCAAGUUCAGAAUUCAUCACCAUCAUCAGAAUUUGAUGGUAGAUACUAAGGUCGGUGGAACUGUCGCCCGGUUCGAGGCAUUCCAAGCUAUACCGGCCAUGGACCGGAACAAUUCUGGCAACGAAAACGAGAUCGGCACUGGAGGAGGCAAAGACGAAAGAAAAAGACGAAAAGAGUGAGAAAGCGGGAGAGGAAGGUCGAGGCCGGCCAGGGAACCGCCACACGGAGGAGAGCUGCGGAAGAGGGGCCCAUUUCAGUCCCCUGUUUCGUUUGAAACAGAGGCAUGAGGGGCGCUUUUUAUGUUUAGAGUUUUUAAGUGAAAGUAGCGGAGCCCUUCUUCUGCGGCUUCUCGGCGGCUCUACAGCCUCUGCCUCCUCUGCGCGACAGCUCUUCGACCUCCACUAGCCUCCUUGGCCUCCCCCUUCUCUCAUUCUUUUUCUCUCUCAUUCUCCCUCCCCCGUCUCUUCUACUGUGUCGGUACAAGCACGGCACGGCAUGGCACGGGUUCGUACCGACUCAUGCUACUGGGCGACUGGUACAAUGCCCAGUAUCGGUUCUGCCAACUCUGGUAGAUACAUUUCAAAAUUUAAAGCAGAUCCUUCAUUUUACAAU
This 634-nucleotide long non-coding RNA is filed under the name Phoenix dactylifera (date palm). Its description in RNAcentral is "long non-coding RNA (PDAC_LNC006530)". Lineage: Eukaryota; Viridiplantae; Streptophyta; Magnoliopsida; Arecales; Arecaceae. The record is from RNAcentral.